This 497-nucleotide ribosomal RNA is filed under the name uncultured bacterium. Its description in RNAcentral is "partial 16S ribosomal RNA". It matches the Rfam family "Bacterial small subunit ribosomal RNA", at positions 28 to 507 of the family's 1533-position model. The record is from RNAcentral.
GAUGAACGCUGGCGGCGUGCCUAAUACAUGCAAGUCGAGCGGACGGACGAUAAUCUUGCUGCUCUGACGUUAGCGGCGGACGGGUGAGUAACACGUGUAUAACCUACCUAUAAUACUGGGAUAACUUCGGGAAACGGGAGCUAAUACCGUAUGAUAUUUUGAACCGCAUGGUUCAAAAGUGAAAGACGGUCUUGCUGUCACUUAUAGAUGGUUCCGCGCUGCAUUAGCUAGUUGGUAAGGUCACGGCUUACCAAGGCAACGAUGCAUGGCCGACCUGAGAGACUGGUAGGCGGCCCUGGAACGGAGACGCGGACAAGAGGACUACGGGACGCAGCAGACGGGUACGUUAGGCAGUAGGCGAGAGCCUUGCGGAGCAACGCCGAGCGAGUGAUGAAGGUCUUCGGUUCGUAAAGCCCUGUUAUUAGGGAAGAACAUAUGUGUACGUAGACGUGGACAGCUUGACGGUAACGAAUAAGAAAGCCCCGGCUAACUACGUG